UAGGGAAUCUUCGGCAAUGGACGAAAGUCUGACCGAGCAACGCCGCGUGAGUGAAGAAGGUUUUCGGAUCGUAAAACUCUGUUGUUAGAGAAGAACAAGGACGUUAGUAACUGAACGUCCCCUGACGGUAUCUAACCAGAAAGCCACGGCUAACUACGUGCCAGCAGCCGCGGUAAUACGUAGGUGGCAAGCGUUGUCCGGAUUCAUUGGGCGUAAAGCGAGCGCAGGCGGUUUCUUAAGUCUGAUGUGAAAGCCCCCGGCUCAACCGGGGAGGGUCAUUGGAAACUGGGAGACUUGAUUGCAGAAGAAGAGAGUGUAAUUCCAUGUGUAACAGUGAAAUGCGAAGAUAUAUGGAGGAACACCAAUGGCAAAGGCGGCUCUCUGAUCAGUAACUGACGCUGAGGCUCAAAAGCGUGGGGGGCAAACAGG
RNAcentral lists this ribosomal RNA (429 nucleotides) under Gemmatimonadota bacterium. Its description in RNAcentral is "Gemmatimonadetes bacterium partial 16S ribosomal RNA". It matches the Rfam family "Bacterial small subunit ribosomal RNA", at positions 355 to 776 of the family's 1533-position model. The record is from RNAcentral. Lineage: Bacteria; Pseudomonadati; Gemmatimonadota.